RNAcentral lists this transfer RNA (59 nucleotides) under Echinosciurus yucatanensis (Yucatan squirrel). RNAcentral describes it as "tRNA-Ser". Lineage: Eukaryota; Metazoa; Chordata; Mammalia; Rodentia; Sciuridae. The record is from RNAcentral.
AAGAAAGAAUGCAAGAACUGCUAAUUCAUGCCUCCACGUCUAAACCCGUGGCUUUCUUA